This 253-nucleotide ribosomal RNA is filed under the name uncultured bacterium. RNAcentral's name for it is "partial 16S ribosomal RNA". It matches the Rfam family "Bacterial small subunit ribosomal RNA", at positions 524 to 776 of the family's 1533-position model. The record is from RNAcentral.
UACGUAGGGGGCUAGCGUUGUCCGGAAUCAUUGGGCGUAAAGCGCGCGUAGGCGGCCAGAUAAGUCCGGUGUGAAAGUCAAAGGCUCAACCUUUGAAUGCCGCUGGAAACUGUCUGGCUAGAGUCCGGAAGGGGCGAGUGGAACUCCUGGUGUAGCGGUGAAAUGCGCAGAUAUCAGGAAGAACACCAAUGGCGAAGGCAGCUCGCUAGGACGGUACUGACGCUGAGGCGCGAAAGCGUGGGGAGCGAGCAGG